AACAUCAGAGCAAGUACUAAGAAUUUACAAAGGAGUCAAUCUUUUUACAAAACAAAAAUCAUACAUCAAAAGAAAGGCGCGGAAGAUGGAAAACGGCCAGGUGGUGGAUUCCUGUGCACGUCUACUGCCUAGGAGCGCAAAACAAUAAAAAGGGUGAGUGGACCCAAAAACAAAGUUUAGAAAAAUAACAUAUGAACAUCCGAU
RNAcentral lists this long non-coding RNA (204 nucleotides) under Prunus persica (peach). RNAcentral's name for it is "long non-coding RNA (PPER_LNC001283)". Lineage: Eukaryota; Viridiplantae; Streptophyta; Magnoliopsida; Rosales; Rosaceae. The record is from RNAcentral.